Molecule: ribosomal RNA, 144 nt
Filed under: uncultured ammonia-oxidizing bacterium
Lineage: Bacteria
Description: partial 16S ribosomal RNA
Rfam family: Bacterial small subunit ribosomal RNA
Source: RNAcentral
CUACGGGAGGCAGCAGUGGGGAAUUUUGGACAAUGGGGGAAACCCUGAUCCAGCCAUGCCGCGUGAGUGAAGAAGGCCUUCGGGUUGUAAAGCUCUUCAGCCGGAACGAAACGGUCACGGCUAAUACCUGUGACUACUGACGUA